RNAcentral lists this transfer RNA (62 nucleotides) under Polyplax spinulosa (spined rat louse). RNAcentral's name for it is "tRNA-Thr". The record is from RNAcentral. Lineage: Eukaryota; Metazoa; Arthropoda; Insecta; Psocodea; Polyplacidae.
AGUCCUCACAGUCUUUGAUGACUGAGAGUUUGUACCUCUCAAGAGGUUUAGCCUGAGGACUA